GCUCCUUUAGCUCAGUGGUAGAGCGGGCGAUUGCAGCUGCACACAGCAAGCAACUCAUCGCCAGGUCGAUUGUUCGAUCCAGUCAGGGAGCU
RNAcentral lists this transfer RNA (92 nucleotides) under Drepanopeziza brunnea f. sp. 'multigermtubi' MB_m1. RNAcentral describes it as "Marssonina brunnea f. sp. 'multigermtubi' MB_m1 tRNA". It matches the Rfam family "tRNA". From Rfam's summary of the family: Transfer RNA (tRNA) molecules are approximately 80 nucleotides in length. The record is from Rfam by way of RNAcentral. Lineage: Eukaryota; Fungi; Ascomycota; Leotiomycetes; Helotiales; Drepanopezizaceae.